GUGGGGAAUAUUGGGCAAUGGGCGAAAGCCUGACCCAGCAACGCCGCGUGAAGGAAGAAGGUCUUCGGAUCGUAAACUUCUAUCCUUGGUGAAGAUAAUGACGGUAGCCGAGAAGGAAGCCCCGGCUAACUACGUGCCAGCAGCCGCGGUAAUACGUAGGGGGCAAGCGUUGUCCGGAAUGAUUGGGCGUAAAGGGCGCGUAGGCGGCCUGGUAAGUCUGGAGUGAAAGUCCUGCUUUUAAGGUGGGAAUUGCGUUGGAUACUGUCGGGCUUGAGUGCAGGAGAGGUAAGUGGAAUUCCCGGUGUAGCGGUGAAAUGCGUAGAGAUCGGGAGGAACACCAGUGGCGAAGGCGACUUACUGGACUGUAACUGACGCUGAGGCGCGAAAGUGUGGGGAGCAAACAGGAUUAGAUACCCUAGUAGUCC
RNAcentral lists this ribosomal RNA (425 nucleotides) under uncultured bacterium. RNAcentral describes it as "partial 16S ribosomal RNA". It matches the Rfam family "Bacterial small subunit ribosomal RNA", at positions 354 to 796 of the family's 1533-position model. The record is from RNAcentral.